AUCCGCCAGGGACACCUGAUGAGAAAAAACUGUUCCUUGUUGACCUUGGAUUGGGUGGCGUGAUGGUUCUACUGGUCUACAUGUUGAUUAUGAUCAACGGCCAGAUGUUUUUAGGUACCCAGUAUUUACAGCAAUCCUAUAAAGUGAGCGAGUCAUUUCCAUUCAAGUGGAUAAAUAAAAAAUGGAGGGAAGGAUUCUAUGUAACUACCAUGGCUACUGCAGGAAGUAGAUGGGCAAUUGUCAUGUCUCGUGGGGCAGGAUUUUCUGAUCA
Non-coding RNA from Camellia sinensis, 271 nucleotides. The record is from RefSeq and is a predicted model, not a curated record. Lineage: Eukaryota; Viridiplantae; Streptophyta; Magnoliopsida; Ericales; Theaceae.